GAUGAAGAACGCAGCGAGAUGCGAUAAGUAAUGUGAAUUGCAGAAUUCAGUGAAUCAUCGAAUCUUUGAACGCACAUUGCGCCCGCCAGUAUUCUGGCGGGCAUGCCUGUUCGAGCGUCAUUUCAACCCUCAAGCCCAGCUUGGUGUUGGGGAUCGGCACAGGCGCCCUCGGGCGCCCGCCGUCCCCUAAAUCUAGUGGCGGUCCCGCUGCAGCCUCCUCUGCGUAGUAGUUUUCUCCUCGCAAGGGCAGCUCGGUGGCGACCUCGCCGUAAAACCCCCAACUUCUGAAAGGUUGACCUCGAAUCAGGUAGGAAUACCCGCUGAACUUAAGCAUAUCAAUAAGCGGAGGA
RNAcentral lists this unclassified non-coding RNA (350 nucleotides) under soil metagenome. RNAcentral's name for it is "partial contains 5.8S ribosomal RNA, internal transcribed spacer 2, and large subunit ribosomal RNA". The stretch from base 1 to 120 matches the Rfam family "5.8S ribosomal RNA", at positions 35 to 154 of the family's 154-position model. The record is from RNAcentral.